This is a long non-coding RNA of Felis catus (domestic cat), 7439 nucleotides long. RefSeq lists it as uncharacterized. Lineage: Eukaryota; Metazoa; Chordata; Mammalia; Carnivora; Felidae. The transcript has 3 exons. The record is from RefSeq and is a predicted model, not a curated record.
AAAAAAAAAAAAAAACCUCUUUAAAUAAAGAUUAAAGUGAUUAUAGUGAAAGUAAUAAAAACAGGAAAAAAAAAUACCUUGGAUAUAAACCUAUUAAGCCACCUUUAGAAUGGUGAAUGAAAAUGACAGUAUUACAAAAAAAUGUUAGAAUUGUUGGCUUUACUUUGAAAUUAGUAUGUAAAGGAACAUUUUAUUUAUUACACUAAUGCUUCAUCCUUAAUUUUUAAAAUUAUGAGAUUUAUAUCCUCUAAGUACAGCCUGAGUACAUUUUAAUAUUUAGUUGUUAAGUUUUUUCUUAAACUACGAUUUAAAAACAAGUCAUGGCGUGCCUGGGAUUUCUCUCUCCCUCUCUGUCUGUCCCUUCCCUGCCCAUGUUCUCUCUCUCGCUCCCUCCCUCUCAAAAUAAAUAAGUAAACUUUAAAAAAAAUAAUAAAAACAAGUCAUAAUUCUUAAACUGGGUUUCAUUAUUUUGGGAACCGACAGUGUUUUCCAGUAGAACAUAUUAAAGGUUUAAAAAUGUGAGGUAAUGAAAAAAGAGUAUUCAUGUCAAAAUUUUCGCCGAGUUCCAGCAUAGGACAUAAUUGGCCAUAACUGUAAAAAAUGUUUAAAUUUUGAGGUUAUUGUAGAGUCACAUGCAGUUGUGAAAAAUAAUACAAAGAGAUCCUGUAUUUCUCUUUCCCUUGUUCUUCCUCCCCACCCUCUGGUAACAUCUUAUAAAACUAUAGCAUGAUAUCGCAACCAGGUUAUUGACAUUAAUACAGAACAGUUCCAUUUUUUAUGUGUUUGUUUAUUUUUGAGAGGGGGGAGGGGCAGAGAAAGGGAAGGAGGGAGACAGAGGAUCUGAAGCGGGCUCUGUGCUGACAGCAGAGAGCUGGAUGCGGCCUCAGACUCACGAACCAUGAGAUCAGGACCCGAGCUGAAGUUGGACGCUUAACCGACUGAGCCACCCAGGCGCCCCUAUAACAAUUCCAUUGAAACAAGCCUCCUGUGAGCUGCCCUGCUAUAGCUCCCUCCCUUUGUUGGGAACAACCUAGUUCUUCCCUACUGUUUCUUCCUUGUGAGUCUUCUUUACUCCUCGCACAGAACACUUCACUCCUGACACUUCUGGUCACCAGAUGUGUGAAAGUUUCCCCCACACUGGGCAAUUCUAUAAUUCAACUCCUAUAUCCUAUAAUUCAGCUCCUCCUGGCACUAUCUACAUGGAGACAGCAUCAGAUUCCACAGAUUAAGAGUUCAGUUCUACAAGACUGUGCCCUACCCUCCACUUCAGAGGCCAGUCGCAAGCCCUAGGCUGUUACUUGUGCUUCUGACCAACCAGCUGCGGGGGAGAGGUUCCGGUGACCUCCUCAGGUUUGAUUAAUUUGCUAGAGAGGCUCACAGAACUCAGGGAAACACUUACCUUUACCAGUUUAUUAAAAAAAUACAAUAAAGGAUAUGAAUCAAUAGCCAGAUGAAGAGAUACAUAGGGCAAAGUCCCAAACAAAGGUGCUUCUGUCUUCAUGGAGCUUGGGGCCUUUCUCCUGACCUCUAACAACUACUAAUCUAUUCUCUGUUUCUAGAAGUUGUCAUUUCAAGAAUGAAAUCGUGUAGUAUGUAAUCUUGUAGGGUAGUCUUUUUUUUCCCUGAGCACAGUUGCCUCAUGAUUCAUCGGAGUUGCAUGGAUCAAUCAUUCAUUUCUUGUUUAUCUCUGAGCUGUAUUCCAUGGUGUGGUUGUAUCACAGCUAUUUAACCAUUCACCUACUGAAGGACAUCUGGGCUAUUUCCAGCUUUUGCCUAUUAUACAAAAGCAAGCAGGACUUUUAAAAAACAUACUUAUAGUGAUGUUUAUGACUCCAUCUUAUUACAGAGUAUUUAUUGGGCUGAGGAGAGUAAGAUUAAAGGCUUAGAGUCAAUUAGGACUAAAACAAAUGUUAUGAACUAUGACAGUCUAGCUCAAAGUAGUUUGAUUUCAUUAAUGUAGUUAAAAAAUUGUUUUUAAAGUUUAUUUAUUUUUGAGACAUAGUACAAGUGGGGGAGGGACAGAGAGAGAGGGAGACACAGAAUCUGAAGCAGGCUCCAGGCUCUGAGCUGUCAACACAGAGCUCAACGCAGGGCCUGAGCUCACAAACCACAAGAUCAUGACCAGAGCCGAAGUCGGACGCUUAACUGACUGAGCCACCCAGGCACUCCUAAUGUCGUUUAUUUUUGAUAUUCAAUCAAGCUCAACUUUAGUAUUGGCCAAGGUCCAUCAAGAGAAUUUACCUAUAGUUAUGUUGUUUAGUAUAGUUACGUUGUGCCCAUGUUUUUAAUCCGAAUGAUUGCUCAGAACACACUAUAAACAAUUUACUUUUGUUAAGUGGUUGCUCACAUAUCUCAUUGUGUUUCUGGCGAUGUGAUAGCACAUGAUUGGGUUUCUUUUUUGCUGCCAACCCCAAUUGUUGGAUGUUUAAAAAACACUAACCACCCUUAUGUGCUUGGAGGUCUCUGAUGAAAAGGCUGAAUUAAAUAAACAUUCCAUAAUGAACAGAAGUGCCAGCACAGGCACAGUCUGUGAAAUGUACAGCAUAUUGACGGCCGGCCGGUUAUCAGUUGAGGGACACUCAGAAACAUGUGGUUAUAUUGGUAGGAACUGGAAGGAUCCAGUCUGCUUCCCCUUGGAUCCCACAGAGUAUAUGUGUACGUGUGUUCGUGCUCCAUGUUAGCCCUGACAGGGACAGAGAAACAGAAUAACUGGCAUCUUAUCUGCCCAGCAGGUGCUUCUGGCAAUGGUCAUUUGUGAUGUUGUUUUUAAUAGAAUUCACAAAAUUUCUCUAGGAAAAACACGUUGGAACGGACAAUAAAAUGUCAUCUGCUUCAUAACUUUUUCCUAAAAGGCUUGGAGUUUUAAAAAAGCUUUCUGCUUUGAUCUCCUAACAGUCUCUUGGAAAUAUUGUUAGUCCUCUUUGGGCCAUAUUUUACAAUUGGAGAAACUGAAAUAGAGAGACCAGAUUGGUCUAGGAAAACUUUGUGGAGAUAGGAAAGUGAGUUGACUCUUGCUUGCCCUAGAAAAUGGGGAAUUUAAAGAAGGAAAUAGUCCUGGAGGAUAAAAGUUGACAGCUUUGUUGGGGUGCCUGGGUGGCUCAGUGGGUUAAGCAUCCAACUUUUGAUUUCGACUCAGGUCGUGAUCUCAAGGUUCAUGAGAUCGGGCCCCACGUCAGGCUCUGUGCUAACAGCGUGGAGCCUGCUUAGGACUCUCUCUCUCCCUCCCAAUAAAGUUGACAGCUUUGUUAAAGAAAAAAGUGAAUGAAUUGAUGAGGCUGGAAGCUCUUUAAAGGCAAGAAUUCCCUUUCAUCUGUAUUCCCAGUACCUAGUUGGAGUCCAGCCCAAUGGAAGCAUUCAAUAAAUAUUUGUUUAACGCAUAAAUAAACGUAUGGAUGACCAAACUACAAUUUCUGAUGUUGCCAUUAAAGACACUUUUCUCAGACGGUUCCUACCCACCUUAUCCUGAUGGUGGUGUUUAAAUCAAGUGUCUAUGGCUGCAUAACAAACUUAUCCAAAACUUAGUGGCUUAUGAAAGUAGUUCUGGGGAUUCACUGGAUGCACCUGGACAGUUCCUUUGGUUGUCCUUGACAUUUCUCUUGCAGUUGGAUAGCAGCUGGGAUGGAAUUUCUGGAAUUUCCACUUGGCUACAGGGAUGUCAGGCCCCCUUUCUCUCCAGGUGGCCUCAGGGCCUUUCCUCUGUCUAUGGCCUUUCCAGCAAAGUACCUGAACAUCUAACUUGGUGGCCCAGGGCUCUCAGAAAGUCCAAGGUGGAAGCUUUCAGGUUUUUCAAAGGCUCAGGCCUGGAAACAUCAAUAAGCCACUUCCUCUGCCUUCUUUUAGUUAAACAGUCAUGGGAGCCAGCUCAGAUUUAAAAGGAGGGGUAAUAAAUCCCACCUUUUGAUGGGGCUCCACUGUGGUUUUCCAUCAAGUCUCCAACACUGGAUGUUUUACAACAUGGUUUCCAUCCAGUCGUCCGACACUGGAUGUUUUACAAUUCACUCAAUUCUAACACUAACCACCUAGAGUUAGCACAGACCCCACAGGUUAAGGGCUCAGUCCCUCAUAAGUGCCUCCCACUUCAGAUACCGGCCACAAGUGAGGGUAUUCCCAAGUCAUCCACAUUUCUGUCCAGCCAAUUGUAAAUUAGGAGGUUCCCCCAACUCUACCUCAGGUUUAGUUAUUCACUCAGAAAACUCAGGAAAAUGCUAUAUUUAAGAUAACACUUUGUUAUAAAGGACACAAAUGAACAACCAGAUGAAGUGGGGCAUGGCGGGGGGGGGGGGCAGUGCAGAAGGAUCCUGAGUGCAGGAGCCUCUGUCCCCUUGGAGUUAGGGUACACCACCCCCCAGGUACAUCAAUAUGCUCACCGAUCAGGAAGCUCCCCAAACCCCAUUGUUCAAGAGUGUUUAUGGAGGUUGUGUUGACUAGGAAUGAUUCAUUAAAUCAUUGGUCAUUGGUGGUUGAACUCCAUCCCCUCCCCCUCUCCAGAGGUAGAGGGAGGGGGUUGAAAGUUCUAGCCCUGUACUGCUGUGUGUGGCCAACCCCUGUUUUGAAACUAUCUAAGGGCCCACCUUGAGUUACCAUGAUAGCAUAAACUCAGGUAUAGUCCAGAGGGAUUCAUUAUGAAUAACAAAAAAUCACUCCUAUUAUUCAGGAAAUUUCAAGGGUUUUUAAAGCUCUGUGGCAGGAACCAGAAAUGGGGACAAAGGCAACAUGUAUUUUUAUCGUAUUAUAGGGGUAAUGACAAAGGAUUUGUGGCUACCUUUAGUCCACCAUGCUGGUCCUCCACAGACUCAAGCAGGCCUAUCACUUUACCCAAAAUAGAUGGAAUUCUAAGAGUGACUGUUUUCCUGUCAUGUACUUUGUUAAAUAAUAAAAAUUCAACCCAUACAUUUUACAGAUCUAAGUGACUUUGAUAAGCAUGAUUCACAAAUCGGGCAGCAUCCCAUCUAGCAAGUAGAGGAAAGCCCCAAGGAGUUGUACAAAAUUUAUAGGAAGGAGGGUGGGACGGUAAGUUCUUAGCGAAAGAAAAGAUUGUUUCAGGCAGGGCCACCUUCCCUGAGGGGAAAGGGCAGGGGUACUAUUAGGUGGAUCUGCCCACAUGACAGAUUCCUCACUGAUGCUGAUCAGAAAAUUCCUGACUGACCAGUUAAAACUACAUUUCUGCAGAAGGUUGAAAUGGCAGUUAGAUUAGGUAUUGAGUCCUGGUUUGGUGACCUGGCCUAUGUGAUGCCAUUUUGGGCCUGUGGUUUUCUUUUUAACAAUUCCUUUCUUUUCAUCAGACUCCCAGCUUAAUUGAGAGAUGUGAUCAAAAUUUAAGACAUUAGCUCCACUCUCAGCUACUGUUGAGAAGUUCUCAUAGUUUUUGUUGUUCUUUGGGAUCCAGAGGUCAUGAUAUUUUUGCUUAACUUCUGGGACCUUCAUAGGUCAUGGCUUUGGGUUCACAUUCUUUAAGUUGGUAAUUUUUCUUGUUCCUUUUUUGACAUUCCGUUCUUAGGGAGAUCAUUUGCUUGGUGGUUCGUGGCUACAAACAUGCAUUUAAAUGUUUGGAGAGAAUACAAUGUACCAGGGAGAUUAUUAUGAAUACUAAAAGCAAGAUAAUUCCCAGUGUUUGGAGUGCACUUCAGAGCCAUGGUCUCCAAGACCCAAACCAAUCAAAGAAAGACCCUGUUGAAGGAAUUACCCUUUCAGCCUAACUGGCUUGCUCCAUGAUUUUAUAUAAAUUAGUUUCACCUUCCCCAGAUGUGUUGCUCCAGGUAUAGCAGGUGGUAUUAACUACAGUACAGACACCUCCUUGCUCAGCUAAAAGAUACUCAAGGGCUCUCCUAUUAUCAAGAACAAUUUUUGCCAGAGAGUCUAAGGAUCUUUGUCAGGUUAUUAUUGCUUUAGCAGUGGAUUCUGCGACAAUUUCAGGAAUUAAGGAGGAAUUCCUCAUCGGGCCUUAUUUACAUUUAUUCCAAAACAAAGAAAUAGAGACCUAUCAAAAGGAGUGAAUCUUGAAUCAUGAAAGCCUCCUGGUAGGUACUUUCUAAUUCAAUAAUGUAAAUUCAGGGGAGUCAGCCAAUGAGAUGUCUUGUUUUGCUUGUGAAAAGUUAGGGCCACAGUUAGGUUUUCUUGUAGCCUGAAAUAAAAGGUUGUUCUAAAUUCUGGAAUUUGCCCCCCCCCUCCCCCCCCCACCAAGCAAGGGCCUGGGAGAUAUAGAUGGGGACAUUAUCUUUCCAGGCUAAUGCCAGAGUAAAGUAAAGGAAAAGAAAGAGAAAAGGUUUCAUGUUCAGUUAAAGUAUGAAGUCUUUAUCUGUUGUCUUGGGCAGAAGUAAUCAACCUUGAUGUCAGCUACUUAUCUUCCUCAUCAAUUUGAUUCAAAGGUCUCCAGCGUCUUCUAAUUUUGAAGAGGUGUCAGUGGUCAGGAGCACUUGAUAAGGGCCCUUCCAGUGGAGCUCCAACACUCUCUUCGUCUGAUAACAUUUCCAGAAUACCCAAUCACCAUGCUCUAGAUUGUGACCAACAAGAACCCCUGAAUUGGAAUCUGGAAAGACUUCUUUAACCUGUUGGUGACAGGCUUGAGCAUAAGAUCUCAGAGACUUAGAAUAGCUGGUCACAGUAGCAUGAGAUAACAAAGGGCAAGCAGAAGGCUGCAUAGACAUUGGUCUGCUGGUGACUCUUUCAUGUAGACCUUUUGCAGUAAGUCUUUCAAUGAAACUACUUUGGAAUCCUGAGACCUUUUGCGGGCUUCGGCUUGCCAAUUAAAGUUUCUGGCUUCCGAGGAUUCCCUUGGCAAUAACUUUUACUGCACAAAACAAGACAGACAAACAUGUGCACCUUAACAUCUCUGCAGUAAGCCAAGGGAUGUUACUGACUCCUGGCCACGAGAAGGCCCUGUGUGCACUACCACCAAUUCCUGUGGAACCAUGGACUGGGCAAGUGAUUAAACCAGCAAACCCCAAGGGAUGGGGACUGUGGACUGAUUCCAAACAAAAUGGAGAAAGACAGCUGCUGCCAGCAGUUCCCAGUGUGGAAUCCAGGGAUAGAACUAAGGUCUAGGGUUUUCCCUCUGGGGAACUGUGGUCUGAAAGGCUACAGGCUUGAGCUCUGGGAAGACCCUUCUGCCAGCUCAGUUGGGCCCCGGGCAAAACUACCCACUCAGCUGGGUUCCGGGCAGAAUUGCCUGCCCAGUUGGGCUCCGAGCAUAAUUGUCUUCCAGCUCAGGCUGACCACCCCUGUAAAGGAAAGCCAAUUAGAUGGAGACCUUGUACCCAACAGGAGUGGAGCUCAGAACUGAGAGGGGCUUCAGCCUUCGGAAACAGCGAGAAAGACAGUAAACCCAGACGGUUCAUGGGGUACCACACCUGGGUUUCCUGUCCUCGGAUGCCAUUGGAAGUUCGCUUCAGAUCCCAGCACUGCCACCAAAUCUGUUAAAUAAUAAAAAUUCAAUUACGUAA